Molecule: long non-coding RNA, 205 nt
Organism: Arabidopsis thaliana (thale cress)
Lineage: Eukaryota; Viridiplantae; Streptophyta; Magnoliopsida; Brassicales; Brassicaceae
Product: other RNA
Exons: 1
Source: RefSeq
GCCAAGGCAAACUCUUCAUAAAGAUUCAGUUCCACGAAGACACGAACUUAUUUUGGAUCAGAACGGACAAUGAACACCUGUCCACUUAUCUAUCUCUACUUAUUUUUAUAUUUCCAAAAGAUAUGCGACCAUAAUUAUACCACACCGCAAACGGGUCGUUGGAUUAACAUAUACUUCAUUGGUCUGUUACGUUAUGCCCAUUUAU